GCCUGGUGUGGUGGUGCACACCUGUAAUCCCAGUGACUCAGGAGGCUGAGGCAGGAGGAUCACAAGUUCAAGACCAGCCUCAGCAAUCUAGUGAGAACUUGUCUCAA
Molecule: small RNA, 107 nt
Filed under: Marmota monax (woodchuck)
Lineage: Eukaryota; Metazoa; Chordata; Mammalia; Rodentia; Sciuridae
Source: RNAcentral